CCUGCAAUUAAAAAGAAAAAGAAGAAAAAGAAGAGAAAGAAAAAAAAGAGCACAAAAAAAAGCAAAAAAUUU
This 72-nucleotide non-coding RNA is filed under the name Eucampia antarctica. The record is from RNAcentral. Lineage: Eukaryota; Bacillariophyta; Thalassiosirophyceae; Eucampiales; Eucampiaceae.